UACGUAGGUGGCAAGCGUUAUCCGGAAUGAUUGGGCGUAAAGCGUCCGCAGGUGGCGAUGUAAGUCUGCUGUUAAAGAGUCUAGCUCAACUAGAUAAGAGCAGUGGAAACUACAUAGCUAGAGUACGUUCGGGGCAGAGGGAAUUCCUGGUGUAGCGGUGAAAUGCGUAGAGAUCAGGAAGAACACCAGUGGCGAAGGCGCUCUGCUAGGCCGUAACUGACACUGAGGGACGAAAGCUAGGGGAGCGAAUGAG
This 253-nucleotide ribosomal RNA is filed under the name uncultured bacterium. RNAcentral describes it as "partial 16S ribosomal RNA". It matches the Rfam family "Bacterial small subunit ribosomal RNA", at positions 524 to 776 of the family's 1533-position model. The record is from RNAcentral.